This is a small nuclear RNA of Ochotona princeps (American pika), 107 nucleotides long. NCBI's taxonomy places the organism in Eukaryota, Metazoa, Chordata, Mammalia, Lagomorpha, Ochotonidae. The record is from RefSeq and is a predicted model, not a curated record.
GUGCUCACUUUGGCAGCACAUAUACUAAAAUUGGAAUGAUGCUGAGAAGAUUAGCAUGGCCCCUGCGCAAGGAUGAUGCACAAAUUUGUGAAGCAUUGCAUAUUUAA